GUGUCAGCAGCCGCGGUAAGACAGAGGUGCCAAGCGUUAGGCGGAAUCACUGGGCUUAAAGCGUGUGUAGGCGGACGGGUAAGUACCUUGUGAAAUCCCACGGCUCAACCGUGGAACUGCUCGGUAUACUGCCCGUCUUGAGCCACUUAGGGGCUGUCGGAACAAACGGUGGAGCGGUGAAAUGCGUAGAUAUCGUUUGGAACGCCAAAGGUGAAAACAGACAGCUGGGAGUGUGCUGACGCUGAGACACGAAAGCCAGGGGAGCGAACGGGAUUAGAAACCCCAGUAGUCC
This 292-nucleotide ribosomal RNA is filed under the name uncultured bacterium. RNAcentral's name for it is "partial 16S ribosomal RNA". It matches the Rfam family "Bacterial small subunit ribosomal RNA", at positions 505 to 796 of the family's 1533-position model. The record is from RNAcentral.